Molecule: small nucleolar RNA, 92 nt
Organism: Mangifera indica (mango)
Lineage: Eukaryota; Viridiplantae; Streptophyta; Magnoliopsida; Sapindales; Anacardiaceae
Product: small nucleolar RNA R24
Exons: 1
Source: RefSeq, a predicted model, not a curated record
CAAGCUAUGAUGAGAAGUUAACAUGUAAGAAGACUUCCCUUGUUGUGGAUCUUCAAUGAAAUUUACUUUGUUACGCUUGGCUUCUGAGCUUA